UAUUAGAAUGCGUUGCGUGAGGGAUGGCAGCGAAAAUCCUUUAUGUUUUUUCUUUAAAAACAUAAAGAUUGCAGCGAACAGCCCGACCCGAA
Molecule: small RNA, 92 nt
Filed under: Flavobacterium omnivorum
Lineage: Bacteria; Pseudomonadati; Bacteroidota; Flavobacteriia; Flavobacteriales; Flavobacteriaceae
Description: Flavo-1 RNA
Rfam family: Flavo-1 RNA
Source: RNAcentral